RNAcentral lists this ribosomal RNA (1447 nucleotides) under uncultured bacterium. Its description in RNAcentral is "partial 16S rRNA". It matches the Rfam family "Bacterial small subunit ribosomal RNA". The record is from RNAcentral.
GACGAACGCUGGCGGCGUGCUUAACACAUGCAAGUCGAACGGAAAGGCCCUGCUUUUGUGGGGUGCUCGAGUGGCGAACGGGUGAGUAACACGUGAGUAACCUGCCCUUGACUUUGGGAUAACUUCAGGAAACUGGGGCUAAUACCGGAUAGGAGCUCCUGCUGCAUGGUGGGGGUUGGAAAGUUUCGGCGGUUGGGGAUGGACUCGCGGCUUAUCAGCUUGUUGGUGGGGUAGUGGCUUACCAAGGCUUUGACGGGUAGCCGGCCUGAGAGGGUGACCGGCCACAUUGGGACUGAGAUACGGCCCAGACUCCUACGGGAGGCAGCAGUGGGGAAUAUUGCACAAUGGGCGGAAGCCUGAUGCAGCAACGCCGCGUGCGGGAUGACGGCCUUCGGGUUGUAAACCGCUUUCGCCUGUGACGAAGCGUGAGUGACGGUAAUGGGUAAAGAAGCACCGGCUAACUACGUGCCAGCAGCCGCGGUGAUACGUAGGGUGCGAGCGUUGUCCGGAUUUAUUGGGCGUAAAGGGCUCGUAGGUGGUUGAUCGCGUCGGAAGUGUAAUCUUGGGGCUUAACCCUGAGCGUGCUUUCGAUACGGGUUGACUUGAGGAAGGUAGGGGAGAAUGGAAUUCCUGGUGGAGCGGUGGAAUGCGCAGAUAUCAGGAGGAACACCAGUGGCGAAGGCGGUUCUCUGGGCCUUUCCUGACGCUGAGGAGCGAAAGCGUGGGGAGCGAACAGGCUUAGAUACCCUGGUAGUCCACGCUGUAAACGGUGGGUACUAGGUGUGGGGUCCAUUCCACGGGUUCCGUGCCGUAGCUAACGCUUUAAGUACCCCGCCUGGGGAGUACGGCCGCAAGGCUAAAACUCAAAGGAAUUGACGGGGCCCCGCACAAGCGGCGGAGCAUGCGGAUUAAUUCGAUGCAACGCGUAGAACCUUACCUGGGUUUGACAUGGAUCGGGAGUGCUCAGAGAUGGGUGUGCCUCUUUUGGGGUCGGUUCACAGGUGGUGCAUGGCUGUCGUCAGCUCGUGUCGUGAGAUGUUGGGUUAAGUCCCGCAACGAGCGCAACCCUUGUUCACUGUUGCCAGCACGUUAUGGUGGGGACUCAGUGGAGACCGCCGGGGUCAACUCGGAGGAAGGUGGGGAUGACGUCAAGUCAUCAUGCCCCUUAUGUCCAGGGCUUCACGCAUGCUACAAUGGCUGGUACAGAGAGUGGCGAGCCUGUGAGGGUGAGCGAAUCUCGGAAAGCCGGUCUCAGUUCGGAUUGGGGUCUGCAACUCGACCUCAUGAAGUCGGAGUCGCUAGUAAUCGCAGAUCAGCAACGCUGCGGCGAAUACGUUCCCGGGGCUUGUACACACCGCCCGUCAAGUCAUGAAAGUUGGUAACACCCGAAGCCGGUGGCCUAACCGUUGUGGGGGAGCCGUCGAAGGUGGGACUGGUGAUUAGGACU